Brachypodium distachyon (stiff brome) is the source of this 127-nucleotide non-coding RNA. The record is from Rfam. NCBI's taxonomy places the organism in Eukaryota, Viridiplantae, Streptophyta, Magnoliopsida, Poales, Poaceae.
AAAGUGCUCCAUCCGUCACAUAAUUCUUGUCUCAAAUUUAUACCCGAAAAUGGAUGUAUCUAUUUCUAAAAAACGUAUAGAUACAUGUAAUAUUUCGACAAGAAUUAUGAGACGGAGGGAGUAUUUU